This 256-nucleotide ribosomal RNA is filed under the name uncultured bacterium. Its description in RNAcentral is "partial 16S ribosomal RNA". It matches the Rfam family "Bacterial small subunit ribosomal RNA", at positions 524 to 776 of the family's 1533-position model. The record is from RNAcentral.
UACGUAGGGGGCAAGCGUUGUCCGGAAUCAUUGGGCGUAAAGAGCGUGUAGGCGGCUCGAUAAGUCCGCUGUGAAAGUCCAGGGCUCAACCCUGGGAUGCCGGUGGAUACUGUCGGGCUCGAGUCCGGAAGAGGCGAGUGGAAUUCCUGGUGUAGCGGGUGAAAUGCGCAGAGUAAUCAGGAGGAACACCAAUUGCGAAGGCAGCUCGCUGGGACGUUACUGACGCUGAGACGCGAAAGCGUGGGGAGCAAACAGG